This 482-nucleotide ribosomal RNA is filed under the name uncultured bacterium. RNAcentral's name for it is "partial 16S ribosomal RNA". It matches the Rfam family "Bacterial small subunit ribosomal RNA", at positions 28 to 523 of the family's 1533-position model. The record is from RNAcentral.
GACGAACGCUGGAGGCGUGCUUAACACAUGCAAGUCGAACGAUGAAAUGGAGCUUGCUCCAUGGAUUAGUGGCGAACGGGUGAGUAACACGUGAAUAACCUGCCCUUAAUUUUGGAAUAACCCAGGGAAACCUGGGCUAAUACCGGAUAAGUAAACCUGUGGCAUCACAUGGUUUUGGAAAGUUUUUCGAUUAAGGAUGGAUUCGCGGCCUAUCAGCUUGUUGGUGAGGUAAUGGCUCACCAAGGCGACGACGGGUAGCCGGCCUGAGAGGGUGAACGGCCACACUGGGACUGAGACACGGCCCAGACUCCUACGGGAGGCAGCAGUGGGGAAGAUUGCGCAAUGGACGAAAGUCUGACGCAGCGACGCCUCGUGAGGGACGAAGGUCUUCGGAUUGUAAACCUCUUUCAGCAGGGACGAAGCGAAAGUGACGGUACCUGAAGAAUAAGCACCGGCUAACUACGUGCCAGCCGCCGCCGUAA